This 1086-nucleotide long non-coding RNA is filed under the name Sus scrofa (pig). RNAcentral describes it as "lncRNA (ENSSSCG00055011419.1)". Lineage: Eukaryota; Metazoa; Chordata; Mammalia; Artiodactyla; Suidae. The record is from RNAcentral.
UACUAUUCUCUGGAGUUGUGUUUUAUGGAGUUGCCCUCCAGGAAAAAACAUUCAGAACUAUGUAAUGAAAAAAUGCUCUGCGUUUGUACUGUGUGCAUGUGUGCGUGCGUGUGUGUGUGUGUGUGUGUGUGUGUGUGUGUGUGUGUGCAUAUAUCCAACUGUCUUAUCUGGUAGAAUUACUCUGGUUUAGGUUUAUUCUACCCCUACUCACCUCCACCUCUUUCCCUCAAAUUGGAGCUAUAGCUGCCAACCUACGUCACAGCCACAGCAACACCAGAUCUGAACUGCACCUGCGACCUACACCAUAGCUUACGGCAACACUGGAUCCUUAACCUAACCCAUUGAGCAAGGCCCGGGAUCAAACCUGCAUUCUCAUGGAUAAUAGUUGGGUUCUUAACCUGCUGAACCAUGACGGGAACUCCCCUCAAAUGAGAGUCUUGACUCGAGACUACAGACAUGAAGGAAUAAUUUGAGAACCAACUCACUGAACGUCUGAGAGCUCAGGGCUCAAGGGUGAGAAGAUGUCAGGUGGGACUUGGAGUCAAGAACUGAGGCUCUCAUUUGUUCUUCCUGAAUGUGAUUGUAAAAGUGUAACCUUGAGGUUUCCCCAUGCAACCUGUUUUUGCCCGUGGUUGCCAGGCAACCACACAUAACACCUGCACACCUCCUUCCCUCUCUAUCCCCCAGGAGCCCACCCACACCAAAGGCAUCAGUGCACGACAUGAAAGGUCGAACAUUUUGUCCCCAGAAGAUAUUUGCCCCUUUUUCCGAGUCACUCUCAUCUCUGCCUUCAGAGAAACUGUCCCUCAGGCAGCCCUGAGCCUGGCUUUACUUCAUCCACCGCACGUUACCACACAAAACUGUUUCCUUCUUCAAGAAUGGAGGAGCUUGAAUUCUUAGAUGCUGAUGAGAGAUGGAAGACACAGAUGAGAGAAGUGAGCCCUAAUGGAACAAGGCUGUGGAGAAGGAAGGCGUGAAGGGAUGGAAGGUGCAGGUUCAUCGAACGGGAAGAGAUGUACUAUUUCUCUGCCUCUGAUGGGAAGGAAGUGAAAUAAACAUGGAUACAGCUAGGUUUGUGGUGAUGGU